This 279-nucleotide ribosomal RNA is filed under the name uncultured prokaryote. RNAcentral describes it as "partial 16S ribosomal RNA". It matches the Rfam family "Bacterial small subunit ribosomal RNA", at positions 524 to 801 of the family's 1533-position model. The record is from RNAcentral.
UACGUAGGUGGCAAGCGUUGUCCGGAUUUAUUGGGCGUAAAGGGAGCGCAGGUGGUUUCUUAAGUCUGAUGUGAAAGCCCACGGCUUAACCGUGGAGGGUCAUUGGAAACUGGGGAACUUGAGUGCAGAAGAGGAAAGUGGAAUUCCAAGUGUAGCGGUGGAAUGCGUAGAUAUUUGGAGGAACACCAGUGGCGAAGGCGACUUUCUGGUCUGUAACUGACACUGAGGCUCGAAAGCGUGGGGAGCGAACAGGAUUAGAUACCCGGGUAGGUCCCUGAG